GUUGAAGAACGCAGCGAAAUGCGAUACGUAGUGUGAAUUGCAGAAUUCAGUGAAUCAUCGAAUCUUUGAACGCACAUUGCACCUCUCGGUAUUCCGGGAGGUAUGCCUGUUCGAGCGUCAUUUGUACCCUCAUGCUCUGCUUGGUGUUGGGUGUUUGUUCCGCCUCUGUGUGUGAACUCGCCUCAAAACAAUUGGCAGCCGGCGUACUUGUUUCGGAGCGCAGCACAUUUUGCGAUCCAGAUCAACGUACAGCGGCAUCCAAGAAGCCUUAUUUAACGCUCUUGACCUCGGAUCAGGUAGGGAUACCCGCUGAACUUAAGCAUAUCAAUAAGCGGAGGA
Molecule: unclassified non-coding RNA, 339 nt
Filed under: soil metagenome
Description: partial contains 5.8S ribosomal RNA, internal transcribed spacer 2, and large subunit ribosomal RNA
Rfam family: 5.8S ribosomal RNA (bases 1-120)
Source: RNAcentral